This is a long non-coding RNA of Helicoverpa armigera (cotton bollworm), 624 nucleotides long. RefSeq lists it as uncharacterized. The transcript has 2 exons. The record is from RefSeq and is a predicted model, not a curated record. NCBI's taxonomy places the organism in Eukaryota, Metazoa, Arthropoda, Insecta, Lepidoptera, Noctuidae.
GCGGUCACCAAAAAUAUUUUUAAGAAUCUAAGCUGAGGCACCAAAUAAAAUAAACAACUCCAAAAAAAAAUAAAUUGACUUUAUUAAAAGGGCACUAAAGUAUAUAAUAUUAUGAUCCAAAAAAAAUAAAAUAACAUCAGAAAAAUCGCAAAUCUCGCACAAAUAUUAUUUUUGGUUCCCAAAAUGGAUUAAUGGUCACCAAAUUCUAUCCAACUAAAAGAUUAAUAUUACUACCAAAAAUCAAAGUUAGUGACGAAAACGAAUCGCUGCAAAACCGACUCCACGUAGUCUUGUCUGCCCUACCCCUAGAGUGCAAUUCAAAACCGCGUAGGCGCGGAGGGGCGAGGCGGCCUGCGAGCUGAGGCGCAGGGCCCCGAUUCUCCUAAGUUAAUAAUGUCAAAAUCGAAUAGAAAUCGAAUCGCAAUAUGAUCGUAAUAGCAGUUUUAACCAUAUCGGGCAUUCUGCUACUAAUAAAAGACCAAUCGUAUUCGAUUGACAUUUGAUUGGUUUGCGAUUUGUCUGCUAUUUUGGUGAUUUUGGUCUAUACGGUAGUUUGCUCUACAAUCAUAUUGCAAUAGUUAAUCAUUUGCAGACAAAAUGAUUCAUUAUUGAAUGACAGAAAAG